AGUAAUACAUCGGAACGUGUCCCGUACGUGGGGGAGUAGCCCGGCCGAAAGACCGGACGUUAAUACCGCAUAUGCUCUACGGAGGAAAGUGGGGGACUCGCAAGGGCCUCACGCUAUGGGAGCGGCCGAUGUCCGAUUAGCUUGUUGGCGGGGGUAAUGGCCCACCAAGGCGACGAUCGGUAGCUGGUCUGAGAGGAUGAUCAGCCACACUGGGACUGAAACACGGGCCAG
RNAcentral lists this ribosomal RNA (231 nucleotides) under uncultured bacterium. Its description in RNAcentral is "partial 16S ribosomal RNA". It matches the Rfam family "Bacterial small subunit ribosomal RNA", at positions 109 to 334 of the family's 1533-position model. The record is from RNAcentral.